This 253-nucleotide ribosomal RNA is filed under the name uncultured bacterium. Its description in RNAcentral is "partial 16S ribosomal RNA". It matches the Rfam family "Bacterial small subunit ribosomal RNA", at positions 524 to 776 of the family's 1533-position model. The record is from RNAcentral.
AACGUAGGAAGCGAGCGUUAUCCGGAUUUACUGGGCGUAAAGCGUGUGUAGGCGGUUUGACAAGUUGGAUGUGAAAGCUCCUGGCUUAACUGGGAGAGGUCGUUCAAAACUGUCAGACUCGAGAGUGGUAGAGGGAGGUGGAAUUCCGGGUGUAGUGGUGAAAUGCGUAGAUAUCCGGAGGAACACCAGUGGCGAAAGCGGCCUCCUGGCCCAUUUCUGACGCUCAGACACGAAAGCUAAGGUAGCAAACGGA